AGUACAGAGAGCCUAUGGGAGUAACCAUGUCAACUGAGGUCAACAUCACUGACCUCAGAACCUGACAUCACAGGCAACGAGAUGAAAGGAGAGAGAAAGGAGGAGCUGACUCCUGUUCUCUCCCCAAAGAGAUCAGUAUCUUGAGAAGAAGGAUGAGAAGAAGGAUGUAUAACACUAUCCUCCCUGAAUUUCCCUGGAGCACUACCCUGCUAUCCUGGGUUGCUGUCUUUCUACUGGCAUCAAAACACAUGGAGGCUGCUGUCACCCAAAGCCCAAGAAAUAAGGUGACAGUAACAGGAAAAACUGUGACACUGAGCUGUCACCAGAAUGAUAACCACAACUAUAUGUACUGGUAUCGGCAGGAUACGGGACAUGGUCUGAGGCUUAUCUAUUACUCAUAUGGUGCUGGCAGCUUUGACAAAGGAGAUAUCCCUGAUGGGUACAAUGCCUCCAGAACAAGGCUAGAAGACUUCUCCCUCAUUCUGAAGUUGGCUUCCCCCUCUCAGACAUCUGUGUACUUCUGUGCCAGCAGUGAUGCACAGUGGCGUGUGGCUUCCUGUCCUCUGCACAGAAAGGAAAUUAGGAAAACAAAUUGCCUGUGUGCCCCAGGAAGUCCCUGCCUCCAUAAGAGUCACUGA
This is a non-coding RNA of Arvicanthis niloticus (Nile rat), 638 nucleotides long. The record is from the annotation of a RefSeq genome assembly. NCBI's taxonomy places the organism in Eukaryota, Metazoa, Chordata, Mammalia, Rodentia, Muridae.